GAUCCUGGCUCAGGAUGAACGCUAGCUACAGGCUUAACACAUGCAAGUCGAGGGGAAACGGAUAUUGGAAGCUUGCUUCCGAUAGGCGUCGACCGGCGCACGGGUGAGUAACGCGUAUCCAACCUGCCCACCACUUGGGGAUAACCUUGCGAAAGUAAGACUAAUACCCAAUGAUAUCUCUAGAAGACAUCUGAAAGAGAUUAAAGAUUUAUCGGUGAUGGAUGGGGAUGCGGU
RNAcentral lists this ribosomal RNA (234 nucleotides) under uncultured bacterium. RNAcentral's name for it is "partial 16S ribosomal RNA". It matches the Rfam family "Bacterial small subunit ribosomal RNA", at positions 15 to 237 of the family's 1533-position model. The record is from RNAcentral.